Molecule: long non-coding RNA, 459 nt
Organism: Zea mays
Lineage: Eukaryota; Viridiplantae; Streptophyta; Magnoliopsida; Poales; Poaceae
Exons: 1
Source: RefSeq, marked validated
ACGCUCGUGUCCGCUCAGGCCACAGCCACGCAACUGCCGCCGCGCCGCGUGCUUGCGCGCUCGCAGUCGUCCGCCUCGACACGAUCUCUGCUCGUCACCCCGAGUCUGAGCUGCGUUCGGGCAUAGGAAGGAGACCAGCAACAGCCGUGCUCUCUUCUUGCUCAACCUCCCCAGCGCGCUCACCUCGUGGUCGCCCAAAUUGUUGGUUUCCUGGUGCCGGAGUCCUCUUCGCUAGACUGCAGCGAGCGCCGUCGUCCAAGCUCAUCGCGUUGGCACGUCCGUGCUGUCCCCGCGCCAGCGUCCCCUCCUGCUUGUUCGGUUGUCGAGCUCCUCCAUCGAUCUCUACCUCAUCGUACAGGCCGUCAGACGCUGCACCUUCAUCUCUGAUCUCGCCCGCCCUCGAUGUCGCGCUCGGAGCCAUCUCGCUCGCCCAGCCGGGUGUGCAGCAGUAGUCUCGCG